GAUGAAGAACGUAGCGAAAUGCGAUAAGUAAUGUGAAUUGCAGAAUUCAGUGAAUCAUCGAAUCUUUGAACGCACCUUGCGCUCCUUGGUAUUCCGAGGAGCAUGCCUGUUUGAGUGUCAUUAAAUUCUCAACUAUUAUCAGCUUUAGCUGAUAAUGGCUUGGAUAUGGGGGUUUAUUUUGCUGGCUUCUUCACAGAUUGUCAGCUCCCCUUAAAUGCAUUAGCCGGUGCCCCGCGUGGACUGUCUAUUGGUGUGAUAAUUAUCUACGCCGUGGACAUCUACAAUCAUAUGGGUUUGCACUGCUUCCAACCGUCUGUUUAUUCAGACAAUACAUGACAAGUUGACCUCAAAUCAGGUAGGACUACCCGCUGAACUUAAGCAUAUCAAUAAGCGGAGGA
RNAcentral lists this unclassified non-coding RNA (398 nucleotides) under soil metagenome. RNAcentral describes it as "partial contains 5.8S ribosomal RNA, internal transcribed spacer 2, and large subunit ribosomal RNA". The stretch from base 1 to 120 matches the Rfam family "5.8S ribosomal RNA", at positions 35 to 154 of the family's 154-position model. The record is from RNAcentral.